AACGAACGCUGGCGGCGUGCCUAACACAUGCAAGUCGUGCGAGAAAGUUCCUUCGGGAGCGAGUAAAGCGGCGCACGGGUGAGUAACACGUAGGUAACCUGCCCCCCAGUCUGGAACAACUAGAGGAAACUCUAGCUAAUGCCGGAUGAGACCACGAUCCCUUCGGGGUUGCGGCCAAAGAUGGCCUCUACUUGUAAGCUAUCGCUGAGGGAUGGGCCUGCGGGCCAUUAGCUUGUUGGUGAGGUAACGGCUCACCAAGGCUGUGAUGGCUAGCUGGUCUGAGAGGAUGACCAGCCACACUGGGACUGAGACACGGCCCAGACUCCUACGGGAGGCAGCAGUGGGGAAUAUUGCGCAAAUGGGGCGAAAGCCUGAACGCAGCGACGCCGCGUGGGUGAUGAAGGCCUCGGUCGUAAGGACCCUGUCGCAGGGAA
RNAcentral lists this ribosomal RNA (434 nucleotides) under uncultured bacterium. RNAcentral describes it as "bacterial SSU rRNA". It matches the Rfam family "Bacterial small subunit ribosomal RNA", at positions 29 to 445 of the family's 1533-position model. The record is from RNAcentral.